RNAcentral lists this long non-coding RNA (2946 nucleotides) under Anser cygnoides (Swan goose). RNAcentral describes it as "lncRNA (ENSACDG00005015677.1)". The record is from RNAcentral. Lineage: Eukaryota; Metazoa; Chordata; Aves; Anseriformes; Anatidae.
UUAGUCAGUUCUGUACUCUUUAAUCCACCAACACACAUUAUUCCUUCUAUUUUCUCCUCAGUUGGGUGUUCUCUUACUCUUCAUGUUUCCAGCUUGGUGAAUGUUUCUGUAGAAAGGUUUGGACCUAGCUAUGUUUCCUCCUAUCUCUCUUGGUCAAGUAAUACCACCUGUGUAAUUUCCCUGCUGUGUGUUAAUGCCUUAACUUGCCGACUCUGUCUUCUUUUCUUCUGCAUCCAUCUUCCAUUUGUUCAUGAACUUCUGCCCUUCAAGACACAGAGAAUUUGUAGAACUAUUUCACUCCACGUAUCUGCAAAAAAAUAUGGAUUAGAACAGACGGAACCUGAACAAUGUGCCACCAAGGAAAAAAAAAGCAGAAGCAAAGAAUUUCAAGUUCUAAAAAUUAAAGCAGCUAUGCCUUUACUGCACGUGUAACAAUCACUGAAGGUGCAUUUGGACCUCCAGGGUCAUGAGGAAAGACUGAUCCAACACAGCACUUCAGUGUGGGAGGUGAGUUGGGCAGCUUUUUUCCCGGUACCAUCCCCAAAGCAUCAGAAUAAUAUCCCCAUUAGGACCUCAGCACAUCAGAAGAAACUGAAGUGCAUGAACAGUAAUUUGCAUGGCAGCCAACUUUUAGCUAUUGUGAGCUUCAGUUACCACAUUCCCCCCUUCCACAAGGCAUGAGGAUGCAACACAUUUGUGACAGGGUAAUAUGAGCGCUCCCUCCCUACACAUCACAUGAAUGGUUGAACCCAUCACCACUCACAAAGGAGCAUAUGCAGCUGGGGAAAGCUGAGCCUAGGUAUUUCAGUCCUCUUUGGCAUCAUGAAAUGAGAAAUUCUUAACGCGUGCAGUUCUUGUAGACUGUGAAACAUUUUCACUCAGGACUAUUAAAACCUAGGAUGUGCAGUCUGUGAAUUGUUAUCAGGAGGUGUUCUGCUCAAUGUUUUUGUCCACUUUCUGAUGUAGAAAUGAGAAAGCAAACACAUUUAUUUGUCAAAAUCCUGAAAAUGUGUUCAUGUAAAAUUAAUCAUUUGUAUAGGUGUUUAUGCAGCUGUGCCAAGGAUAAGAUGCAGUUUGUCUUUGAGUAUCUAUUGAACGCAUCAAAAAACAACAACAAAUUCUCUGGAGUAACAAGAGAGUUUACAAGUUAUUACUUCUUUCUCUGCCUCCACUGACCAUAGACUGCACUUUAAUUUUUUAUAGUGUUCUGCUUUGUCCUUCAGUUUAUAAUGUCUUAAUCUCUUUGCUGCACCACUAUGCUAUGUUGUCUAGCUACACCAAGGACAGUCUGCCUCACAACGCCAGUCUUUAGAGAGCUAUUAUCAUUCAUCUUAAAAAAUGUCUCCCAAAAACUAGAGAUUCCUCCUCCUUGACACACCUCUCUUUCAUGAUGAUACAAUUUGUGAACCAUCUUGUCUCCAAAAUGUUUGUACUGUGCAUCUUUUUACAGCGUCUCAUCUCAAGGUUCAGCAGAUUUGAUAUGCUACCCUUCUGGAAACUGCACAAGAACAGAGCAUUUCAAGAAACCCUUUGAACAACCUGCAAGUGAUAUUAUCCAGGAGCUAACCACUACACCAACACGGAGUUAUAAUGUUUUUGAAGACUCUAGGUGCAGAAACCAUUCAGUAUGCUUUCACAUGCCAUACUAAUUGCUAAUUAGAGAACAUCAACAAAUUAGAGAAAGCACAGUGAAAACUGAGUAUUAUGUUUGAAGAGUUAGUCUGUCAGCUUUUCUGAUUACUGGGGAGCAUUUAUCAGUCAUGAACUGCAAGCAUUUUAGAAGAUCAUGCUCUACACAGUCUGCUUACCACUUCAUAUUCAAGUUUCAAAACAGCUGAAAUAGAUUCCACCUAGACAGAACUUUUCUGCCUUGGAAAUCUUGUAUAUUUGUGCAUAUUAGGUACCAUCCUGUUUCCUGGUAUCAGCAGUUGCUAUCAUAAUUUUCUUAUGGGCCAUCAGAACAAAUAAUUUUUAAAAAGCUCUGAUAAAUUAAAUAUCAGUAUUUGAAGGUAUUAAUUCUUCUUUUCUCAUGCCUGCUACUUAUUAAAUUAACUUCUAUUAAGUCAUUUUUAAAUUCUUUUAAAAAUCAUGCUGGGAUAAAUCUGGAAAGGUGAGAAGUGUAUAUGAUGGGUGUAUGUAUGUAUACAGUCUGGGUACAGAUUUGUCAAUCUUGUCAACAUCAUGAUGUGCCAAGAGGCAUUUAUAAUUCAAGUCACUAACAUAACCUCUCCUCCAAAAAAUUAUGUCACCUAAGGUUACACAACAUUAUGUACACAGCAAUUUGGUGUACUGUGGGUCCUGUAUCACUCUUUGGCAGCACUGUUUGGCAGUGCGGUUGGCUACUCCUGCAGCUGUAGUCCCCACUCUUCCAGGCUGUUGAAAACAUUGGUUUUCACUGCAGCUCUUUCCUCACUGAACAUUCAGAUUUAAUUUUAAAGGAAAAGAAGAUGAGUGAGGGCAUGGUGUGCAUACAGGUACCAUUCUGUUAUAGUGUCAUUUAUCAUAUAGCUGAGAUGCAAGCAGUGAUUUGGCUGCGAACAUGCUGAAGAGGACAAAUUAUCUUAAGAGUGAACUCAGGUCAGAUGUUUCUAAACACUCCUGAGCAAAUAUUAGGCAUCUCAAUAGUGUGUGAUGGCCUUGUCUUCCUGCGCUGACUUGACUGAGUAAUGAAUGAUCCCUUAGAUAACAAGAAUUUACCUACAGGCUCUAUAGGAUUCCUAUAUUUAGCUAUAAACAACGGCAGUAAAGGAACAUACUGUAUUUUCCUUCUGCUCCAGUUAGUGUUAAGUGUUACAAAAAUUAACUGAUACAGACUGUUAUAUUCCUUGCACCAAAAUAUUUGUGGACUGUGACAUCGCCAUGUGCCUUGUAACUAGUGAGACAUUUUUUUCCCCUUGUACUUUGCUUCUAAAUAAAGCAACAACUAUUUGCCCUCCUCCCUUUUGU